This is a long non-coding RNA of Bactrocera neohumeralis, 2437 nucleotides long. RefSeq lists it as uncharacterized. The record is from RefSeq and is a predicted model, not a curated record. NCBI's taxonomy places the organism in Eukaryota, Metazoa, Arthropoda, Insecta, Diptera, Tephritidae. The transcript has 2 exons.
GUGCUAUUUACUGGAACGCUACGAUUGACAGGCAGCAGUUAAAUGCUUGCUGGUAACCGAGUACCGUGUGGUAUUGGCUACUACGCUAUCUCUUUCUGGCCUGCGUUCGAUGCGCAUUAUCGGUGGUAGUAGUGCGUCGACUACAUCGUUGUCAUUUCCCUCGCUUGGCAUGCUGUUUUGUGCUGGGAAUUGACGACGUGCAUGCCUGUAUCGACUACUUGGAAUACGUUGUGACUUCGUUGUUGCCAUUACCUUAUGUUCGUUCCAUAGCCGUUAUCUUCGUUGCUGUCUAUCGAUUCGCUCACCAUCUGUGACCGAUUCCAAAAGUGGAGAUGGCUUUGUUUGUCGUCUGGCGGUUGUUGGUAUACGAGUACUACGCUUUCCACAUGAAUUAAUGUUGAUAAGUGGAGUAAUUUGAGAGCAGCUCUUAGGUACGAAAUAAUGUAGGCAGUUAUUUUGCUACAUCGUUGGAGGGAUUUAAUAAAUGUGUAUUCGUUGCUUGAGCCGUACUUCCAGCUAGCACCAGACAAACUGUAUGAGACUGAGGCGCUGUCGCGCAGUUUGGAGUAACUAAGCAGUUUCACCUUGAGAGUUGCAUAACGUGUUUGAGCAGCUGGCAGCUGCUUACACAUUUUAAUGCGUGUGUUAUAUUUUGAUAAAAAGAUUUUGAGGUUAUGGAGACAAUAGCUUUUUGAGACAUCGUCCCAAGGGAAAGGUGUACAUGCAUUUUUAUCAAUAAGGGCUUAAUUGUUAUUUCUGUUGCAGUUAGACAUUUUUGGCGUUGUCUCAUGACAUCGAUACGUCAUAUUGGCUAUAGAAACUGAAAAAAAUUAGGCGAAUGUAUUCAUCUAAGAUUUUCUAUCGCACUUAGAUUGAUUUUCCAUUCCGACUACGUUAAUUUUGUUAAUUAAAUGUAAGCGGAAUAUAAAAGUAAAUAUUUUUGUAAUAGUUUGUUAAAAAAAUAUAUAUACAUACAUAUAACCGAUAAGAUUGCAAUUAAUUAAUGGCUUUGGUUUGGCCGCCCAUCUUGAAAAAGAAUUCAUUUCAGGCUUGUAUCGUUUAUAAUAUGUCAACACUUUACCUUGGUCAAACGUCGUACCAAUGUUGCUAUAUAAUAACAAAAUUAAAACUGCCUUCACGCUAACUACCAUAGCCUCAUUUGCCAGCGUUGUCAGCCAAACACGCUAACGUUUACUUCGUUUCACGCUACGAAUUCUCAGUGCGUUCGUCAUGUGUUUAUCAGGGCACGUUGUUCCACUUGCCGUUCUCUGUGUCGAAAGGGCUGUGGUUGAAGCUAAAUUCAUUCGCUUUACUCAGAAUCGGCUGUAAUGUUUAAAAGUUCGCUCCUACCAUAAGUUAACAUUCAAAACUUUGUGGAAUUUUCAUUUCUAAAUAUGUGCCUUGAUCAUUUCAGUUGUAUGUUUGUACUUGUAUAACUAACUAUUAUAAUUUGUCACUUUUCAAUAGCUGGUACUCUAGUCGCUCCAGGUUACCACGUCAGCGUAUUUGUUAGCUAACUCACCCUCACUAUAAACCAGUGUUGACGACGUCAUCACUCCCAAGUUAUUUGGUAGAUAUACUCUUAUCGUUGUAUUGGAGCACAAAUAGAUAGGUGCCUAUAAUGUUUGCGUACAUGAUAUCAUUGCAUAGUGAGGUACCCAGCUAAGUUGUUAUGUGGUUUGGAACUUUGGACAAUUAGCAGCUCUACAUUGUGUUCACGUGGCUUUGAGGUUUCACUUGAAUGGCUCAGUAAUGUUCAAAUAUCCCUUUUAUUUGUAGAAACCUGCAUAUGUCUUAAGUUUAUUUAAGAAAUUUUUAAGUUGAAUAUAUAAAUAUCAAAUACUCUGGAAUUGCUUUGUAUUGUCGUAAGAACGAGCUGUCAUUUUUACGAUAUGACGAUGACUAUUGUCUAGAGGCCAAGGAACAAAUUAGUAGAGAUACAUAUAUGCACAACACAUUGCUUGGAGGCUUUUGAAGUCGAUCAAAACAAAUACUGUUACAUUUUGGGCAUUGCUUGAACACCUAUAAAAUGUUUCUUUGAUAAUUUACGUGCUAAUUUUGAACUGAAAAGAAAGAACUGGUAGUUUCCAGUAGCAAACUAUUCGAAUUACUCUCGUCGGUUUUGAGAUAUCGCUGUGAAAUUUUGCGUACUUCCUUUUUUCUCCAAGAAUCUGCUCAUUUUGUCGGAACCGCCGAUUUCGGUUUACUGUAAACUGAACGGUCAAUAUCAAGUUUGUGUAUGGACAACUUUUUUAUUGAAGGAGAUAUUUCCAUGUAAUUUGGUAUGGACUAUAUCGCAAACAACGCUGCAAUCUCCGUAGAAAUUAAUGGCAUAUAUGUACAUGUGUAUGUAGCUGUCAUACAAAUGGACCGCAAAUUUAGUUCACAAUGAUAUUGAAAACGAUUCGCCUUUAAGUUGAAUAACUCUUUUAUAUAA